Molecule: ribosomal RNA, 263 nt
Filed under: uncultured bacterium
Lineage: Bacteria
Description: partial 16S ribosomal RNA
Rfam family: Bacterial small subunit ribosomal RNA
Source: RNAcentral
GAUCCUGGCUCAGGACGAACGCUGGCGGCGUGCCUAACACAUGCAAGUCGAACGGAGAUAAAGAUUUCGGUUUUUAUCUUAGUGGCGCACGGGUGAGUAACACGUGAAUAACCUGACCCAAAGAGGGGGGAUAACACCUGGAAACAGGUGCUAAUACCGCAUAAGACCACAAUGUCGCAUGACGAAGGGGUCGAAAGAAAAAAUACGCUUUGGGUAGGGGGUUCGGUCGUCCCACUAGUAGUAGGCGGGGUAGUAGCCACCUA